UACGGGGGGGGCAAGCGUUGUUCGGAAUUAUUGGGCGUAAAGCGCGUGUAGGCGGCUUUGCAAGUCGGGUGUGAAAGCCCUCAGCUCAACUGAGGAAGUGCGCCCGAAACUGCAGAGCUUGAGUACCGGAGAGGAUGGCGGAAUUCCCCAAGUAGAGGUGAAAUUCGUAGAUAUGGGGAGGAACGCCGGUGGCGAAGGCGGCCAUCUGGACGGAUACUGACGCUGAGACGCGAAAGCGUGGGUAGCAAACAGG
This 253-nucleotide ribosomal RNA is filed under the name uncultured bacterium. Its description in RNAcentral is "partial 16S ribosomal RNA". It matches the Rfam family "Bacterial small subunit ribosomal RNA", at positions 524 to 776 of the family's 1533-position model. The record is from RNAcentral.